AUUGAACGCUGGCGGCAUGCUUUACACAUGCAAGUCGAACGGUAACAGGUUAAGCUGACGAGUGGCGAACGGGUGAGUAAUGCAUCGGAACGUGCCCGGUCGUGGGGGAUAACGCAGCGAAAGCCGCGCUAAUACCGCAUACGAUCUGAGGAUGAAAACGGGGGACCGUAAGGCCUCGCGCGAUCGGAGCGGCCGAUGUCAGAUUAGGUAGUUGGUGGGGUAAAGGCUCACCAAGCCAACGAUCUGUAGCUGGUCUGGGAGGACGACCAGCCACACUGGGACUGAGACACGGCCCAGACUCCUACGGGAGGCAGCAGUGGGGAAUUUUGGACAAUGGGCGAAAGCCUGAUCCAGCAAUGCCGCGUGCAGGAAGAAGGCCUUCGGGUUGUAAACUGCUUUUGUACGGAGCGAAAAGGUCUCCUCUAAUACAGGGGGCUCAUGACGGUACCGUAAGAAUAAGCACCGGCUAACUACGUGCCAGCAGCCGCGGUAA
Molecule: ribosomal RNA, 493 nt
Filed under: uncultured bacterium
Lineage: Bacteria
Description: partial 16S ribosomal RNA
Rfam family: Bacterial small subunit ribosomal RNA
Source: RNAcentral